AGCAGAAAAUGAAAUGAAGAAGAGAGUGGUUUUGUUUCAAAGGUACAGCACAGCCUAAGGACGUUUUAAACAAAGUGAGUUUGUAUUCCAUAGAAGAGGUUCUGGCGCUGGAAAUUGAGGCGAG
Non-coding RNA from Delphinapterus leucas (beluga whale), 124 nucleotides. Lineage: Eukaryota; Metazoa; Chordata; Mammalia; Artiodactyla; Monodontidae. The record is from RefSeq and is a predicted model, not a curated record.